GAUGUUAAAGUGAUGGUUGGGAGUAAUUUCACCCGAGGGUCCUUUGCACCACGACCUCGAGCCAAACACCCCCAGAAGCUUUUUCACCUGGGUCCAACAUUGGGAGAGUUAGCGCAGAGCAGCUCCAC
Molecule: long non-coding RNA, 128 nt
Organism: Sander lucioperca (pikeperch)
Lineage: Eukaryota; Metazoa; Chordata; Actinopteri; Perciformes; Percidae
Exons: 3
Source: RefSeq, a predicted model, not a curated record